GAUGAACGCUGGCGGCGUGCCUUAUACAUGCAAGUCGAGUGGGUUUAGACCCACGGCAAACGGGUGAGUACCACGUAGGUACUUUCCUUGUCACAGGAAUAACCCUCCGAAAGGAGGGCUAAUCUCUGAUGUGAUCGUAAGAUUAAAGGGUAUCCGCAAGGGUUACCGGUCAAGACGAGGCCUGCGGCCUAUCAGCUAGUUUACGGGGCAACUGCCCACCCAGGCGAUGACGGGUAGCUGGUCUUAUGAGGAUGAUCAGUCACAUGGGCACUGAGACACGGGCCCAGCUCCUACGGGAAGGAGGAGGAGGGAAUUUUGCGCAAUGGGCGAAAGCCUGACGCAGCGACGGCGCGUGCGGGAUGAAAGCCUUCGGGUCGUAAACCGCUUUUAUAAGGGACGAACUUUGACGGUACCUUAUGAAUAAGAGGUUGCUAACUCUGUG
This 442-nucleotide ribosomal RNA is filed under the name uncultured bacterium. RNAcentral describes it as "partial 16S ribosomal RNA". It matches the Rfam family "Bacterial small subunit ribosomal RNA", at positions 28 to 507 of the family's 1533-position model. The record is from RNAcentral.